GAUGAACGCUGGCGGCGUGCCUAAUACAUGCAAGUCGAGCGAACAGACGAGGAGCUUGCUCCUCUGACGUUAGCGGCGGACGGGUGAGUAACACGUGGAUAACCUACCUAUAAGACUGGGAUAACUUCGGGAAACCGGCGCUAAUACCGGAUAAUAUAUUGAACCGCAUGGUUCAAUAGUGAAAGACGGUUUUGCUGUCACUUAUAGAUGGAUCCGCGCCGCAUUAGCUAGUUGGUAAGGUAACGGCUUACCAAGGCAACGAUGCGUAGCCGACCUGAGAGGGGGAUCGGCCACACUGGAACUGAGACACGGACCAGACUCCUACGGGAGGCAGCAGUAGGGAAUCUUCCGCAAUGGGCGAAAGCCUGACGGAGCAACGCCGCGUGAGUGAUGAAGGUCUUCGGAUCGUAAAACUCUGUUAUUAGGGAAGAACAAAUGUGUAAGUAACUAUGCACGUCUUGACGGUACCUAAUCAGAAAGCCACGGCUAACUACGUG
Molecule: ribosomal RNA, 497 nt
Filed under: uncultured bacterium
Lineage: Bacteria
Description: partial 16S ribosomal RNA
Rfam family: Bacterial small subunit ribosomal RNA
Source: RNAcentral